This 253-nucleotide ribosomal RNA is filed under the name uncultured bacterium. RNAcentral's name for it is "partial 16S ribosomal RNA". It matches the Rfam family "Bacterial small subunit ribosomal RNA", at positions 524 to 776 of the family's 1533-position model. The record is from RNAcentral.
UACGUAGGGUGCAAGCGUUGUCCGGAAUUAUUGGGCGUAAAGAGCGUGUAGGCGGUCAGGUAGGUCCGUUGUGAAAACUCGAGGCUCAACCUCGAGACGCCGAUGGAAACCAUCUGACUAGAGUCCGGAAGAGGAGAGUGGAAUUCCUGGUGUAGCGGUGGAAUGCGCAGAUAUCAGGAGGAACACCGGUGGCGAAGGCGGGUCUCUGGGCAGUAACUGACGCUGAGGAGCGAAAGCGUGGGGAGCGAACAGG